RNAcentral lists this ribosomal RNA (270 nucleotides) under uncultured bacterium. RNAcentral's name for it is "partial 16S ribosomal RNA". It matches the Rfam family "Bacterial small subunit ribosomal RNA", at positions 88 to 354 of the family's 1533-position model. The record is from RNAcentral.
CCGGCGACCGGCGCACGGGUGAGUAACACGUAUGGAACCUGCCCUAUGCAGGGGGAUAAGCGGAAGAAAUUCCGUCUAAUACCGCAUAACACCUUUAGGAGACAUCUUCUUGGGGUCAAAGGAGGCGACCCCGGCAUAGGAUGGCCAUGCGUCGCAUUAGCUAGUCGGCGGGGUAACGGCCCACCGAGGCGACGAUGCGUAGGGGUUCUGAGAGGAAGGUCCCCCACACUGGUACUGAGACACGGACCAGACUCCUACGGAAGGCAGCAG